Long non-coding RNA from Olea europaea var. sylvestris, 1156 nucleotides. RefSeq lists it as uncharacterized. The transcript is spliced from 3 exons. Lineage: Eukaryota; Viridiplantae; Streptophyta; Magnoliopsida; Lamiales; Oleaceae. The record is from RefSeq and is a predicted model, not a curated record.
UUUCCCCAAAAUUUGUCAUUCCCUCUUUAAAGUUUGCUGUCAUCUACUCUCCUUUGCCUCAAAAAAAAAUUUCCCAAAAUUAUUCAUUCCCUCCCUUUGUUUCAUCUGAUUGAUUGGCCCAAACCUAGUUCAAAUUCUUCAGCUCAUGCAAAUUUCAGCUUCAUCUACAGAUGUAUGUGAUAUUCUUCAAUCUGUCUUCCAGGUAUGCCCAUUCCAAGAUUAUAUCAAAUAUUAAAGUUUGUAGUUUAUUCCAUUUAUAUAUGUCAUUGUCCAUAGGGUUAGCAAUUAAAUUCCUCCUCCUCUUGGUAUUUGCGUUCAAUAUUGAUUUUGACAAAGGGUUUUCCAUGGAAUUCUUAUGUGGUCUGUCGUUGGAUGAAAACCAGCCAAUUUCAAAGCGAUUUAGAGCUCAAGCUACAUAUAGUUUGGGUUGGAUGCAAAAACAUAUUUAAAUUGUUAAUCAUCUAAUCAUGCUCAAGGAUAAGGAAUUUAAAUUAGAUUCUAUUUUGCUUUAAGUGUUUUUUGGUACAAGCAGUCGGAUUAGUUUUUCUUGCAUUUGUAUCACUUGUACUAUGAGGUUUAUGUUGGUCAAUAUUAACAUCUUGUUAGGUGGUGAAUGACUGAAUGUUAGCGAGAAAUUCUUUGUCAAUGGCGUUGAAUAUUGAAGAAUAGUUAAUGAUUAGUCAAUACGGGGUUGUAGAAAGAGUUUUGAAUAGCAGAGCUUCCUACAAUUCAAAUUGCAGCAAGGAUGAGAUGGGGACUGGUGCAUCCAAACUUUAAAAUGCAUGUUACUGAAUGAUUUCAUAUAUAGUCAAGAUUUACACAAGACUCAAUAUUUUUUACCAUGUCAACUACCUUCCAAUGUAUGCAACACAAAGAAAGAGUUAGAAGCAAAAUGUGCUACUCGAAAGGUAGAAUAUGCAGCUCGACUGAAGAUGGAGCAAAUGAUAUAAAACAAGCCGAAGGUAGUUGAGCAACAAUUCAAUUAUACGUUGUGAGAACUAGCAGCAUAUCUAUUACACGAGGAUUAAGAGUUUUGUUUUUUUUAGAUGCGUAGUAAUAGAUAUAGAUCAUUUUUUCUACUGUUUUUAAGUUUAGAUGUAACCAUACUUAGGGAAUAACGUUUAUUUCAGUUUUGGUGUAAUAUAUUUGGAUUCAA